CCACAUCACUCUGUUUAGAAAUUAUAUAAAAUUUUCGGAUCUAAUUCUUGACUGCUGCAUCUUUGCAAGUUCUCAUAGUACCACUACAUCUCUCAUUUUCUUCAGAGAAAAAGUUCAUACUAGUUAGUUAUAAAACUAGUUUCUGAUAUAAUUUAUAAUGUGGCAUCUCAUGAGUGAUCUAAGCUUUUGUAAAUUAUAUUAAUCCCCUUGUACCACGUUGGAACCAGUUUAUUAACAGUAUUGCUCGGGCCUGCGGUUCAUUCUAUUGCUUCUUCCC
This 277-nucleotide long non-coding RNA is filed under the name Elaeis guineensis (African oil palm). RNAcentral's name for it is "long non-coding RNA (EGUI_LNC011620)". Lineage: Eukaryota; Viridiplantae; Streptophyta; Magnoliopsida; Arecales; Arecaceae. The record is from RNAcentral.